UGGCGGAUACGAUGCGUAUCGAGUGUACGUAAUCCGGGCCCUGUUGUUUAUUUUUCGUUUACUGUGGUUUAACCUCACUUAACUAGAUAGAUCGAGAAAUAUUAAAUUACUAUUACUAUUAUUCAGGUUGAAAAAUGCCUUCCUGUAAGGUAAAAGGUUGCGAAGUCGAUUGGGGAAAAAUAAUGUGAAAAUGAAUUCUUUCCCAAAAGAAUCUGAACGACGGAAAGUGUGGAUUAAAAAUAUAGGGUUAAAACAAGAUCCAAACAAAUAUGCUGUUGUUUGUGAAGAACACUACUUCUGACAUGUGGAAAAAAGUUAGACAAGAUGGCAGCAGAAAAUUAAAAUGCAAUGCUGUACAACAAUAUUUAGAGAAGAAAGCGAAAGUAUUUAAUUAUUUAUAUUGGUUUUUUGUUUAUUCACCAAUUUAACACCUAUAGAUAUUUGUAUAACAAGAGAGCGAAGUGCACCUUUUCCUCCCAAGAAUAAAGUUUACUAGUUUACUACAGUAAUCAUUCAAGGGAGGAAAAGGCACUUCUCCCAUGUUAUACAUUUUUCCACCUCCCUCAAAUAAGUCAUUUUUUCAUUUUUAAAAUAUUUAUAUAACUGUUGAUUGAAUACAUGAAUCAUAAUUGAAUACAGGAAUUUGUGUAUUCAAUCAACAAUAGAAUUAACAAAAUUUAUUAGAGAACUAAAACUAACAAGUAGGUACAGUAUAACUAUCAAAUUAUUAAUGAAAAAUUUUUAAAUCAAAAUAACAAUUUACUGUUUUUACCAUUUUGCAACAUCUAUAAAUAAAAUUUAAAAUGUAUGGAUACUUACCUAAUAGAAAAUAGAGUAAUAGUAUAGGGUGUCAAUAAGUUAUUUCAUCUAUGCUAUGACAUAGUAUGACGUCAACAUCACUUUUACUUUUACUCCCUAGGGAUUAAAAGUACUUUGUUUCCCUAGGGAGAAAAAAAUAUGACUAUGCUCCCUACAAUAAGGCCAGGAAAUGUAUACUUUGGAUAGAGGUAGGUGGGAAAAUCUGUUUUAUUCAGUUAUUGUGAUUUGUUUCUUACAGACAAUCGGUUUGUUCUAGCACGAGUUUCAAACGGUCUGAAACCAUUAGCGAAUAGUGGACCAGCGCGAGUAGAGGGGAUAGCACUCGUAACUGUAUUAUGUUCUCUCACUGACCAACUGUUUGCUGACUAGUUCGACUGUUUGCUAGAACAAACCUAUUAUUCAAACAAAAUGUCCUCUACGUCAGACUGAUCAGAAUUUUAAAAAUGAGUCAUAUCAAUCAAAUCAAAAAAUUUCAAAAAUUGUUCCUGUAACCAUUUUUAGUGGAAAUAAUAACAGUACUUAUAUUGGAUCAGAGAGCCACCCAAUUCAUUGUUAAAGUAUGAUAAACUAAAAGUUAAACAAUUAGGCAUGCACUUCAUAUUAUAUUUAAUGAAAUAUAACCCACUGGUACUCGUACAAACUUGACGGCAAGCAAAUUCAACAAAUUUUUCCUCAUUUAUUAGUUUUUCACUACCGUUAAGUUUGGAAACAAGCGCUGUUGCCAAAUAAAAACAUAUACAGUCAGAAAAAUGAAAGAAUACCCAUGAACGAUCACAUCAAUCACAUAUUUUGUAUUUGCUGUUUUUUUUUUCAUAAAUAAUAAAUGAGAGAGAUAGAUUAUUAAUAAUCUGAAUAAUAUGUGAUUGAUGUGAUCGUUCAUGGGUAUUCUUUCAUUUUUUCGACAGUAUGUAUUUACCACAGCAACUACAGGUGACACUGUUUCUCUUUGUCUUUAAGAGUGUGAAACAAAGAUAACUACAGUGGGAAAAAUAAAGAAUACCCAUGAACGAUCACAUCGAUCACUUAUUUUGUGUUUCCUAUCUUUUUCUAUAACAAACAUUUAUUAUUUAUAGAAAAAGACAACAAACAUAAAUUAAGUGAUUGAUGUGAUCGUUCAUGGGUAUAGGGCUUUUCAUCGAUUGUCAUUUGUUUCGAGCUUCUGUCAUGUGUCACAUAAUAUUAAUAUAUCUACGUCAUACGUCUUUGGUUUGUAUCAUGGGUAUAUACCAAUAACGUAUGACGUAGAUAUAUUAAUAUUAUGUGACACAUGACAGAAGCUCGAAACAAAUGACUGUGAAUGAAAAGCCCUAUUCUUUCAUUUUUCCAACUGUAUCUGUAAUAUACGCUGAGCUCGUAGGUAGAGGGGAUAAUUAAAAAAUCGCGAGAGCCAGUAGUGACAAGUCUGUAAACCUUUACUGGAAAUUUGACAUAAAUGUCAAAGUGAAUAAUUUAAAA
Diabrotica virgifera virgifera (western corn rootworm) is the source of this 2274-nucleotide RNA transcript. RefSeq lists it as uncharacterized. The transcript is spliced from 2 exons. The record is from RefSeq and is a predicted model, not a curated record. Lineage: Eukaryota; Metazoa; Arthropoda; Insecta; Coleoptera; Chrysomelidae.